CGUAGGUCCCGAGCGUUAUCCGGAUUUAUUGGGGCGUAAAAGCGAGCGCAGGCGGUUAGAUAAGUCUGAAGUUAAAGGCUGUGGCUUAACCAUAGUACGCUUUGGAAAACUGUUUAACUUGAGUGCAGAAGGGGAGAGUGGAAUUCCAUGUGUAGCGGUGAAAAUGCGUAGAUAUAUGGAGGAACACCGGUGGCGAAAAGCGGCUCUCUGGUCUGUAACUGACGCUGAGGCUCGAAAAGCGUGGGGAGCAAACAGGAUU
Molecule: ribosomal RNA, 259 nt
Filed under: uncultured bacterium
Lineage: Bacteria
Description: partial 16S ribosomal RNA
Rfam family: Bacterial small subunit ribosomal RNA
Source: RNAcentral